This is a long non-coding RNA of Thalassophryne amazonica, 267 nucleotides long. RefSeq lists it as uncharacterized. The record is from RefSeq and is a predicted model, not a curated record. Lineage: Eukaryota; Metazoa; Chordata; Actinopteri; Batrachoidiformes; Batrachoididae. The transcript is spliced from 4 exons.
AAAAAUAUGCACAAUUACAAAAAAUAGGGAUUUGCAGCACCACCUAUGGGCUGCGCCCUGAGUCAGCCACAAAAAUUUUCACGUUUUUGGAGAGUCCAUACCCGAUAGACUAACACAAAUAAAAAUCAAUUUGGCUCACUCGUGGCACACAGAAAUAUUAGCAUUCGAAAACCUAAAUUUUGUGAUUUUGCCAUUUUGGCUCAUUUUGACCCCAAAUUUCCAGGACCCCCUAAACAAAAUAAAAGAAAAUCAAAAGAAAGAAAAGGC